RNAcentral lists this long non-coding RNA (538 nucleotides) under Brachypodium distachyon (stiff brome). RNAcentral describes it as "long non-coding RNA (BDIS_LNC003365)". The record is from RNAcentral. Lineage: Eukaryota; Viridiplantae; Streptophyta; Magnoliopsida; Poales; Poaceae.
AAAGGCUUUAAAAGAUUUUAUUUCAAUUUAAACCCUAGGGUUUUCACCCAUUUGAACUUUGGAUCUUCAAACCAAUAGGGUUUAUCUAUAAAAAGGGUUUAUUUCAUAAAUAGGCAAUCCCAUAAUUUUUGGAUAAUUAUUUGGAGUUGAAAAACUAUUUUAUUUAAAUAAUUAUAUAGCCCUAAAGGCAUUUAUAGGGCAAAGGUAUUUUUAUAUAUUCUAUUUUGAGGGGAAAUUACUCCCAAAAGUUGAAUCAUGAUAAAACAUGAUUUUACAAAUUUUCUGGAAUUUAUUUGGACCAAUUUGGAGUUCAAAAUCAAAAGAUAUCAAAGAAAUCAGAAAAAGAAAAAGAGAAAAGGCUAAAAGAAAAAAAAAAAGGAGUAAACCGGACCGGCCCGGCCCAACGGGCCGAACCGGCCCCGUUCCGCGCGAACCGACCGAGCCCGACCGGCCCUGCCAGCCGUGCGCGAGCCGCAAGCCCCUGACAGGUGGGGCCCACCUGUCAGGGCCUUCGUCUGCCCGAAGGAAAGCGCCGCCG